UGCAGUCGAGCGGAUCUUCAUUAGCUUGCUUUUGAAGAUCAGCGGCGGACGGGUGAGUAACACGUGGGCAACCUGCCUGUAAGACUGGGAUAACUUCGGGAAACCGGAGCUAAUACCGGAUAAUCCUUUCCCUCACAUGAGGGAAAGCUGAAAGACGGUUUCGGCUGUCACUUACAGAUGGGCCCGCGGCGCAUUAGCUAGUUGGUGAGGUAACGGCUCACCAAGGCAACGAUGCGUAGCCGACCUGAGAGGGUGAUCGGCCACACUGGGACUGAGACACGGCCCAGACUCCUACGGGAGGCAGCAGUAGGGAAUCUUCCGCAAUGGACGAAAGUCUGACGGAGCAACGCCGCGUGAACGAUGAAGGCUUUCGGGUCGUAAAGUUCUGUUGUCAGGGAAGAACAAGUACCGGAGUAACUGCCGGUACCUUGACGGUACCUGACCAGAAAGCCACGGCUAACUACGUGCCAGCAGCCGCGGUAAUACGUAGGUGGCAAGCGUUGUCCGGAAUUAUUGGGCGUAAAGCGCGCGCAGGCGGUUCCUUAAGUCUGAUGUGAAAGCCCCCGGCUCAACCGGGGAGGGUCAUUGGAAACUGGGGAACUUGAGUGCAGAAGAGGAGAGCGGAAUUCCACGUGUAGCGGUGAAAUGCGUAGAGAUGUGGAGGAACACCAGUGGCGAAGGCGGCUCUCUGGUCUGUAACUGACGCUGAGGCGCGAAAGCGUGGGGAGCGAACAGGAUUAGAUACCCUGG
Molecule: ribosomal RNA, 750 nt
Filed under: Bacillus sp. (in: firmicutes)
Lineage: Bacteria; Bacillati; Bacillota; Bacilli; Caryophanales; Bacillaceae
Description: bacterial SSU rRNA
Rfam family: Bacterial small subunit ribosomal RNA
Source: RNAcentral